Molecule: long non-coding RNA, 380 nt
Filed under: Trifolium pratense (red clover)
Lineage: Eukaryota; Viridiplantae; Streptophyta; Magnoliopsida; Fabales; Fabaceae
Description: long non-coding RNA (TPRA_LNC002998)
Source: RNAcentral
CUUUCUGUUGCAAAUUUGCCUUGAAAACGUGAAAAAACAACACUAGUCUGCUGUUUUCCGCCCCGGGCGGAAAAACCUGUGUUUCAGGCGGAAAUUUGAAGCAGGAAAAGGGGUGCUCUCUGUUUUGGCGCCCCAGGCGGAAAUAUUGGUGUUUCAGGCGGAAGUUUCCGCCUCAGGCGGAAAAAGCUGUGUUUCGGGCGGAAAUCACUGCAGGGUAUUUAAAGGGUCACGUUUUCUGUUUUUUUUAGAGGAAGUUUUGAGGGUUUCUUUCACCAAAACGGCGGCUAGGGUUAAGAGGGUUACUCUUGGUUCAUCUCUAGGUUUUGGGUGUUGAUUCUUUCAUCUUGUAAUCACUUAUCAUUGAAAUCUCUUGGUCANNN